Molecule: long non-coding RNA, 1364 nt
Organism: Passer domesticus (house sparrow)
Lineage: Eukaryota; Metazoa; Chordata; Aves; Passeriformes; Passeridae
Exons: 7
Source: RefSeq, a predicted model, not a curated record
UGCUGCUGGCCAAGGUGUCCUGUGGGUGUGCUGGUGUCAUUCAGCUCCUGGAGUGGCUUGAGCUCCCCGACAGCUUCUUGAUGGUGCUGGAGCAUCCAGAGCAGUGCCAGGAGCUGUCGGAUUUCCUGGCGGAGCAGUGCCAGGAGCUGUCGGUUUUCCUGGCGGAGCGGAGGUUCCUGCCGGAGGAGGAGGCGCGGGGGCUGUUCCGCCAGGUGCUGGAGGCCGUGCGGCACUGCAGCAGCUGCGGGGUCCUGACAGGGACAUCAAGCCCGAGAACAUCCUGCUCGACCUGGCCAGCGGGCAGCUGAAACUGAUCGACUUUGGCUGUGGCGCUUUCCUCCAAGACACAGCCUACACCCAGUUUGCAGGAACCCUGGCCUACAGCCCACCAGAGUGGACCCAGCACCAAAGCUACCACAGCGAGGCAGCGACGAUCUGGUCCCUGGGCCUCCUGCUGUACCAGCUGGUCGUGGGGAAGCACCCGUUCAGGAGGGGCCAGGAGAUGAUCUGGGGGCGCAUCUUGUUCCCACCACGGCUCUCUCAAGAGUGCCAAGAUGUCAUUAAGAGCUGUUUGUCCAUGCAACCCUCGGACAGGCCAUCAUUAGAAGAGCUUUUCUGCCAUCCUUGGAUGCAGGGUGCUCCUCGUCCCUAGAAGAUGAGAGAGAUCCAUGUGCACAGUUGGAUCCAGAGGCCUGGCAGGGAAGGAGAAGGAGCUCCUGGAGAAGCUGUACCAGGUGGGGCUGCUGCUGGAGACAGCAAGGACAACCUCAAGGAUGAAAACCUCUUCCUUGGCCUGGCCAGCUGAAGAAGAUGGACUUGGAUUCUGGCACCUUCUCUAAAGACACCCUCCACACCCAAUUUGCAGGUGCUGAGGCUGCUCUGGGCUCUGCCAUGGCUCUGCUGGGCUCAUCCCUGGACACAGCUGGGCUGGCUCUGCCCUCACAUUGCUGUGACAGCUUUGCAUCAGACGAGCCGGUUCCGAGCACAGCGCCUGAGCUUUCUGCUUUGGCAGAAGUGCCACGAGAGGGCCAAACGUGGCGAGUGGGCCGUGUUCCUGAGGCAGUGCAGUCUGGAGAUGAUGGAUGGAGAAUUGCCCUUCUGCACUCCCAAACCAGAGCAAAGAGCUAAAACAUGCUGUAAAAAAAGAGUGCCCUUUGCUCCUGGCUCUCGUGUGGAGCAGCUCCCUUCCUGCUGGCUGAGCUGCUCAGGCAGAGCCCGGCAGCUCCUGGCCCUGCAGGGCUGAGGCUUUUCCCCACUGCUGGGCACAGACUGAUGGAGCAGCACUGCUGAACACGGGCACACAGAGGGACCAGGAGCAGCUGCCUUUGGCCACCUGAGGCUCCAAGGCCCAAACUCUGAGCAGC